GAGUUUGAUCCUGGCUCAGGAUGAACGCUAGCGACAGGCUUAACACAUGCAAGUCGAGGGGCAGCGGGGGAGUAGCAAUACUCCCGCCGGCGACCGGCGCACGGGUGAGUAACACGUAUGAAACCUGCCCGUAGCAGGGGGAUAAGCGGAAGAAAUUCCGUCUAAUACCGCGUAACAACCCAUGGAGGCAUCUCCGUGGGUUUAAAGGAAGCGAUUCCGGCUACGGAUGGUCAUGCGUCGCAUUAGCUUGUUGGCGGGGUAACGGCCCACCAAGGCGACGAUGCGUAGGGGUUCUGAGAGGAAGGUCCCCCACACUGGUACUGAGACACGGACCAGACUCCUACGGGAGGCAGCAGUGAGGAAUAUUGGUCAAUGGCCGCAGGGCUGAACCAGCCAAGUCGCGUGAGGGAUGACGGUCCUAUGGAUUGUAAACCUCUUUUGUCAGGGAGCAAAGGGCGCCACGUGUGGCGUUUUGCGAGUACCUGAAGAAAAAGCAUCGGCUAACUCCGUGCCAGCAGCCGCGGUAAUACGGAGGAUGCGAGCGUUAUCCGGAUUUAUUGGGUUUAAAGGGUGCGCAGGCGGAAUGUCAAGUCAGCGGUAAAAUUUCGGGGCUCAACCCCGUCGUGCCGUUGAAACUGGCGUUCUUGAGUGAGCGAGAAGUAUGCGGAAUGCGUGGUGUAGCGGUGAAAUGCAUAGAUAUCACGCAGAACUCCGAUUGCGAAGGCAGCAUACCGGCGCUCAACUGACGCUCAUGCACGAAAGCGUGGGUAUCGAACAGGAUUAGAUACCCUGGUAGUCCACGCAGUAAACGAUGAAUACUAACUGUCCGGGCCGAUUGAGGUCUGGGUGGUACAGCGAAAGCGUUAAGUAUUCCACCUGGGGAGUACGCCGGCAACGGUGAAACUCAAAGGAAUUGACGG
Molecule: ribosomal RNA, 920 nt
Filed under: uncultured bacterium
Lineage: Bacteria
Description: bacterial SSU rRNA
Rfam family: Bacterial small subunit ribosomal RNA
Source: RNAcentral